This 494-nucleotide ribosomal RNA is filed under the name uncultured bacterium. Its description in RNAcentral is "partial 16S ribosomal RNA". It matches the Rfam family "Bacterial small subunit ribosomal RNA", at positions 28 to 507 of the family's 1533-position model. The record is from RNAcentral.
GACGAACGCUGGCGGCGUGCUUAACACAUGCAAGUCGAACGGUGAAGCGCCUUCCUUUUUGGUGGGUGUGGAUGAGUGGCGAACGGGUGAGUAACACGUGAGUAACCUGCCCCCUUCUUCUGGAUAACCGCAUGAAAGUGUGGCUAAUACGGGAUAUUCUGUGUCUGUCGCAUGAUGGGUCUGGGAAAGAUAUUGUUUCGGUGUGGGAUGGGCUCGCGGCCUAUCAGCUUGUUGGUGGGGUGAUGGCCUACCAAGGCGGUGACGGGUGGCCGGCCUGAGAGGGUGGACGGUCACACUGGGACUGAGACACGGACCAGACUCCUACGGGAGGCAGCAGGGAGGAAUAUUGAACAAUGGGCGCAAGGCUGAUGCAGCGACGCCGCGUGAGGGAUGGAGGCCUUCGGGUUGUGAACCUCUUUCGCCAGUGAAGCAGGCCUGCCUCGUUUGUGGGUGGGUUGACGGUAGCUGGAUAAGAAGCGCCGGCUAACUACGUG